AUGGAUUUUUCCGCCUAAAGAAAAGCUCGCGGCUGAUUAGCUAGUUGGUAAGGUAAUGGCUUACCAAGGCGACGAUCAGUAUCUGGUUUGAGAGGACGAUCAGACACACUGGAACUGAGACACGGUCCAGACUCCUACGGGAGGCAGCAGUGGGGAAUUUUCCGCAAUGGGCGAAAGCCUGACGGAGCAAUACCGCGUGAGGGAAGACAGCCUACUGGGUUGUAAACCUCUUUUUUCAGGGAGGAAAAAAAUGACGUGUUCCUGAAGAAUAAGCAUCGGCUAACUCCGUGCCAGCAGCCGCGGUAAGAA
RNAcentral lists this ribosomal RNA (309 nucleotides) under uncultured bacterium. Its description in RNAcentral is "bacterial SSU rRNA". It matches the Rfam family "Bacterial small subunit ribosomal RNA", at positions 202 to 526 of the family's 1533-position model. The record is from RNAcentral.